AAGGACCGCGGUAUUUCUGACCGUGCAAAGGUAGCAUAAUCAUUAGUCUUUUAAUUGGGGGCUGGGAUGAAUGGUUUGACGAAAUAGUUACUGUCUCUGUUAUGAUUAAUUGAAUUUUACUUUUAAGUUAAAAGGCUUAAAUGAUAAUAAGGGACGAGAAGACCCUAUAGAUCUUUAUAAUUUUUUUUUUAUUAUUAGUUUUUAGGUGUUUAAUUAUUUAUGAAUUUGAAUUAUUUUAUUGGGGUGAUAUGGGAAUAUUUUAACUUCUUAGUUUUUGAACUUUGAUAGAUGAUUUUAUGAUCCUUUAAUAUGGAAUGAAGAUUAAGAUACCUUAGGGAUAACAGCGUUAUUUUAUUGGAUAGUUCUUAUUGAUAAUAUAGAUUGCGACCUCGAUGUUGGAUUAAGAAUAUAUGUUGUG
This 418-nucleotide ribosomal RNA is filed under the name Cardiodactylus rufidulus. RNAcentral's name for it is "partial large subunit ribosomal RNA". It matches the Rfam family "Archaeal large subunit ribosomal RNA", at positions 2003 to 2624 of the family's 2987-position model. The record is from RNAcentral. Lineage: Eukaryota; Metazoa; Arthropoda; Insecta; Orthoptera; Gryllidae.